This 232-nucleotide ribosomal RNA is filed under the name Vibrio chagasii. Its description in RNAcentral is "partial 16S ribosomal RNA". It matches the Rfam family "Bacterial small subunit ribosomal RNA", at positions 60 to 276 of the family's 1533-position model. The record is from RNAcentral. Lineage: Bacteria; Pseudomonadati; Pseudomonadota; Gammaproteobacteria; Vibrionales; Vibrionaceae.
UGCAGUCGAGCGGAACGAGUUAUCUGAACCUUCGGGGAACGAUAACGGCGUCGAGCGGCGGACGGGUGAGUAAUGCCUAGGAAAUUGCCUUGAUGUGGGGGAUAACCAUUGGAAACGAUGGCUAAUACCGCAUAAUGCCUACGGGCCAAAGAGGGGGACCUUCGGGCCUCUCGCGUCAAGAUAUGCCUAGGUGGGAUUAGCUAGUUGGGGAGGUAAUGGCUCACCAGGGGAA